UCCUGAGCUCACUCUGGUCACGGGUAAGGUAAGAGGAGCUUGAGAGCGAGCCUCUAGCCUGAGAUCGACGGAGCUCCGACGCUGCUGCGUCUUGAUCGAUCUCGAGCAUCGGGUUCUCCUUGCUAAAGUGGGGAUGCUAGGGCUCGAUUGGAGGUUGGGAGGGGAGCUGUGAGGCGGUGGAACGACUGGGGAGGCCUAUUUAUAGGUUGGCGACGGGGCACCGAGUGGGGGAGCGCCAGUGGUUUUUUCCACAGUCGCACGAGAGUGAGAGAGGGCUCGGGGUCGAAACCAUGGUUUGCGGACGUGGUUUUGGACUUCCGCGGAUGCAACAGGAGGAGCGGGGGUAGUUUUCUAGGCGUGUUGCGGGGCCG
Molecule: long non-coding RNA, 371 nt
Filed under: Hordeum vulgare
Lineage: Eukaryota; Viridiplantae; Streptophyta; Magnoliopsida; Poales; Poaceae
Description: long non-coding RNA (HVUL_LNC003937)
Source: RNAcentral